GCCGCGUGAGGGAUGACGGCCUUCGGGUUGUAAACCUCUUUCGGUACCGACGAAACGCCGAUGAUGGUGGUGACGGUCGGUACAGAAGAAGCACCGGCCAACUACCUGCCAACUGCCGCGGUAAUACCUAGGGUGCGAGCGUUGUCCGGAAUUAUUGGGCGUAAAGGGCUCGUAAGCGGUUUGUCGCGUCGGGAGUGAAAACAACGGGCUUAACUCGGUGCUUGCUUUCGAUACGGGCAGACUACAGGUAUGCAGGGGAGAACGGAAUUCCUGGUGAAGCGGUGAAAUGCGCAGAUAUCACGAGGAACACCGGUGGCGAAGGCGGUUCUCUGGGCAUUACCUGACGCUGAGGAGCGAAAGUGUGGGGAGCGAACAGGAUUAGAUACCCUGGUAGUCCACACCGUAAACGUUGGGCGCUAGGUGUGGGGCCUAUUCCAUGGGUUCCGUGCCGCAGCUCACGCAUUAAGCGCCCCGCCUGGGGAGUACGGCCGCAAGGCUAAAACUCAAAGGAAUUGACGGGGGCCCGCACAAGCGGCGGAGCAUGCGAGAUUAAUUCUAUGCAACGCGAAGAACCUUACCUGGGUUUGACAUAC
This 593-nucleotide ribosomal RNA is filed under the name Nocardioidaceae bacterium Ri2Ps_5116. Its description in RNAcentral is "bacterial SSU rRNA". It matches the Rfam family "Bacterial small subunit ribosomal RNA", at positions 396 to 989 of the family's 1533-position model. Lineage: Bacteria; Bacillati; Actinomycetota; Actinomycetes; Propionibacteriales; Nocardioidaceae. The record is from RNAcentral.